This 336-nucleotide unclassified non-coding RNA is filed under the name soil metagenome. RNAcentral describes it as "partial contains 5.8S ribosomal RNA, internal transcribed spacer 2, and large subunit ribosomal RNA". The stretch from base 1 to 120 matches the Rfam family "5.8S ribosomal RNA", at positions 35 to 154 of the family's 154-position model. The record is from RNAcentral.
GAUGAAGAACGUAGCGAAAUGCGAUAAGUAAUGUGAAUUGCAGAAUUCCGUGAAUCAUCGAAUCUUUGAACGCACAUUGCGCCCCCUGGUAUUCCGGGGGGCAUGCCUGUCCGAGCGUCAUUGCAACCUUCAAGCGCGGCUUGUGUGUUGGGUCUCGUCCCCCGUGGACGGGCCCGAAAGGCAGUGGCGGCGUCCCGACAUGGUGCCCGAGCGUAUGGGAAUCCUCUUCCGCUCGAAUCGGCCCAUGCGGCGCUGGUCGUAACCAAAUUUUUUACCGGUUGACCUCGGAUCAGGUAGGGAUACCCGCUGAACUUAAGCAUAUCAAUAAGCGGAGGA